AUGGCUCAAAAGCUUAAAUAAUUCAACUCGAAUAAAUCAACUCAACUCAAAUAAUUUGUAUUGUAACAGCUUUAAGAGAAGAGAAGGGCAAUUUAUAGGACAAUCUACCCGGGGCAGGAGCACCAACACUGAUCCAGCAGCAGUGGAAACAGACUCGGCGGUUCUGUCAUUUGAGAGCGAUUGUACUGUAGGCCGGCAUACGGCAGUCCAACAUCAGAAAGACAAGUUACUUCAGAGUGUCUCCGGAGCUCCUGCCCCAGGCAUUUCUGCGCUAACAGCCACGAUGAAAAGAAAGAAAGUCAAGAAGAACACCAAGCGCUUUAAGGCCAGACGAUCGAUGGAGAAGCCGCCAUGGAUCUACAGAGAUGAAAAUGACAUCAUCAGGAGCAUCGAUUUUAGCAAGAAGGAAAUAGCUAGAAUUACAAUUGAUUUAAUGCAUGAUUCUUGUGAUUAUCUGUUUCCUAUAUAUUCCCUUUUUCCUAUAAAUCAAAAAAUAUCUUCUAAGGUUUCAGGGUUCAUAAAAUAUUUUAAUAUUGCUAAAAACAAAUGUAUCAAUGAGUAUGGUUUUGCUGUGAUUGAACUAAAAGAUGGACCGCCGAUAUUAAUCGGACCCUUUAAGCCAGUUAAUGUUUCUGAGAAAGUAGAUCCUCCAGAUAUGGUUCACAGUGAAGAUCAAUGUAUUCAUGAAAUAAAGAAAGAAAUUAAAGGAAAAGAGAAAAUGAUAAAAGCUAUAUAUAUAUUUACUAAAUAUAGUCCCUGCUUUUGUAGAAAAUGUUUUUCUAAAAAAAAACGUGAUUCUUGUAUGAUCCAGUUAGUUAAUUUCUCUGAGGAAAUGUUCAGUUUUAAUAUAGAGGUUGUCAUCGCCUUCCAGGACUUUUAUGGUGCAUCAGGGAAUAUAGUUGAAGAGCUGAAGGUCCUGAUGAAUGAUAAAGAUCCUUUGAUUAAAAAAACAUGACUGGAGUUAAAAGAAAACAUGAAAAAACAACACCGUAGAUCAACAUUUACAUGUUUCCACAGAAACAAACAUAAAAUUACAACUAGGACUAUUAAAACAUAUAUUACAGAUGAAAUAAAUAUAAUAAUAAUGAAAAAAAGAAUUCUUUUUCUUUCUCAUAAUAACUUUAAAAUUGAAUUUCCCUCUCAGAAAAUGACAUUUCAUGAGUUCAAGACAUUUGGAGAAGAACAGGCAGAUAAACUGAAAACACACCUGAAAAACCUGAAUGUUAGCGAGGAAAUUAGAGAAAAAGCUUGUUUGCUUUUUUAUUCUAAGUGGUGUAAACUAGUGUAUGAAGAAUAUGAAGAGUUUAUCUAUGAGAAGCUCAGUGAUUACAUUAACAGCUUUGCAGUUACAUUCGCUUAUGAAGAUAUAAAGGCCAUCACAAAACACUUUCAUCUGGAAAGAGUAAAGUAAACUGAUACAUAUUUUCUGCAUUUUUAGUUCAGUCUGUCUCUGACAAUGAUUCUCCAUCUCAUUGCCUGAUAGAAAACACCUGCUCAAUGUCAUUCUCAACAAACACAUUUAUUCAAUAAAUCUAUUUCCUUUCA
This is a long non-coding RNA of Megalobrama amblycephala (Wuchang bream), 1545 nucleotides long. RefSeq lists it as uncharacterized. The transcript has 3 exons. Lineage: Eukaryota; Metazoa; Chordata; Actinopteri; Cypriniformes; Xenocyprididae. The record is from RefSeq and is a predicted model, not a curated record.